This 593-nucleotide ribosomal RNA is filed under the name Coccidia sp. RNAcentral describes it as "SSU rRNA". It matches the Rfam family "Eukaryotic small subunit ribosomal RNA", at positions 341 to 928 of the family's 1831-position model. Lineage: Eukaryota; Apicomplexa; Conoidasida. The record is from RNAcentral.
CUACCGUGGCAGUGACGGGUAACGGGGAAUUAGGGUUCGAUUCCGGAGAGGGAGCCUGAGAAACGGCUACCACAUCUAAGGAAGGCAGCAGGCGCGCAAAUUACCCAAUGACAACACUGUUGAGGUAGUGACAUGAAAUAACAAUACAGAGCAUUUAAUGCUUUGUAAUUGGAAUGAUGGGAAUCCAAACCCCUUUCAGAGUAACAAUUGGAGGGCAAGUCUGGUGCCAGCAGCCGCGGUAAUUCCAGCUCCAAUAGCGUAUAUUAAAGUUGUUGCAGUUAAAACGCUCGUAGUUGGAUUUCUGCUGGGGGUCGGUUUGGUCCGCCUCCUUGGAGGUGUGCGCCUGUCGAACUUCAGCAUCCUUCUGGUAGCGCGCUCCCCACUUCACUGUGCGGGUUGCGCGUGUUUCCAGGACUUUUACUUUGAGAAAAUUAGAGUGUUUCAAGCAGGCUUUUCGCCUUGAAUACUGCAGCAUGGAAUAAUAAGAUAGGACUUUGGUUCUAUUUUGUUGGUUUCUAGGACUAAAGUAAUGAUUAAUAGGGACAGUUGGGGGCAUUCGUAUUUAACUGUCAGAGGUGAAAUUCUUAGAUUUG